RNAcentral lists this ribosomal RNA (972 nucleotides) under Listeria monocytogenes. RNAcentral's name for it is "partial 23S ribosomal RNA". It matches the Rfam family "Bacterial large subunit ribosomal RNA", at positions 408 to 1381 of the family's 2925-position model. The record is from RNAcentral. Lineage: Bacteria; Bacillati; Bacillota; Bacilli; Caryophanales; Listeriaceae.
CUGAGUACGGCGGAACACGUGAAAUUCCGUCGGAAUCCGGGAGGACCAUCUCCCAAGGCUAAAUACUCCCUAGUGACCGAUAGUGAACCAGUACCGUGAGGGAAAGGUGAAAAGCACCCCGGAAGGGGAGUGAAACAGUUCCUGAAACCGUGUGCCUACAAGUAGUUAGAGCCCGUUAAUGGGUGAUAGCGUGCCUUUUGUAGAAUGAACCGGCGAGUUACGAUUUGUUGCAAGGUUAAGCGGAAAAAGCGGAGCCGUAGCGAAAGCGAGUCUGAAUAGGGCGCAUAAGUAACAGGUCGUAGACCCGAAACCAGGUGAUCUACCCAUGUCCAGGAUGAAGGUAAGGUAAUACUUACUGGAGGUCCGAACCCACGCACGUUGAAAAGUGCGGGGAUGAGGUGUGGGUAGCGGAGAAAUUCCAAUCGAACUUGGAGAUAGCUGGUUCUCUCCGAAAUAGCUUUAGGGCUAGCCUCGAGGUAAAGAGUCAUGGAGGUAGAGCACUGUUUGGACUAGGGGCCCUUCUCGGGUUACCGAAUUCAGAUAAACUCCGAAUGCCAUGUACUUAUACUCGGGAGUCAGACUGCGAGUGAUAAGAUCCGUAGUCGAAAGGGAAACAGCCCAGACCACCAGUUAAGGUCCCCAAAUAUAUGUUAAGUGGAAAAGGAUGUGGGGUUGCUUAGACAACCAGGAUGUUGGCUUAGAAGCAGCCACCAUUGAAAGAGUGCGUAAUAGCUCACUGGUCGAGUGACCCCGCGCCGAAAAUGUACCGGGGCUAAACAUAUUACCGAAACUGUGGAUGAACCUCUUUAGAGGUUCGUGGUAGGAGAGCGUUCUAAGGGCGGUGAAGUCAGACCGGAAGGACUGGUGGAGCGCUUAGAAGUGAGAAUGCCGGUAUGAGUAGCGAAAGAAGGGUGAGAAUCCCUUCCACCGAAUAUCUAAGGUUUCCUGAGGAAGGCUCGUCCGCUCAGGGUU